GACGUAGGGCGCGAGCGUUGUCCGGAUUUAUUGGGCGUAAAGAGCUCGUAGGCGGCUUGUUGCGUCGACUGUGAAAACCCGCGGCUUAACUGCGGGCUUGCAGUUGAUACGGGCAGGCUAGAGUUCGGUAGGGGAGACUGGAAUUCCUGGUGUAGCGGUGAAAUGCGCAGAUAUCAGGAGGAACACCGGUGGCGAAGGCGGGUCUCUGGGCCGAUACUGACGCUGAGGAGCGAAGGCCAGGGGAGCAAACGGG
This 253-nucleotide ribosomal RNA is filed under the name uncultured bacterium. RNAcentral's name for it is "partial 16S ribosomal RNA". It matches the Rfam family "Bacterial small subunit ribosomal RNA", at positions 524 to 776 of the family's 1533-position model. The record is from RNAcentral.